CCUACGGGUGGCAGCAGUGGGGAAUAUUGGGCAAUGGGCGCAAGCCUGACCCAGCAAUGCCGCGUGAAGGAAGAAGGCUUUCGGGUUGUAAACUUCUUUGACAGGGGAAGAGCAGAAGACGGUACCCUGAAAACAAGCCACGGCUAACUACGUGCCAGCAGCCGCGGUAAUACGUAGGUGGCAAGCGUUGUCCGGAUUUACUGGGUGUAAAGGGCGUGUAGCCGGGAAGGCAAGUCAGAUGUGAAAUCCGGAGGCUCAACCUCCGAAUUGCAUUUGAAACUGUUUUUCUUGAGUACUGGAGAGGCAGACGGAAUUCCUUGUGUAGCGGUGAAAUGCGUAGAUAUAAGGAGGAACACCAGUGGCGAAGGCGACGAUCUGGCCUGCAACUGACGCUCAGUCCCGAAAGCGUGGGGAGCAAAUAGGAUUAGAUACCCUAGUAGUC
This 442-nucleotide ribosomal RNA is filed under the name uncultured bacterium. Its description in RNAcentral is "partial 16S ribosomal RNA". It matches the Rfam family "Bacterial small subunit ribosomal RNA", at positions 338 to 795 of the family's 1533-position model. The record is from RNAcentral.